Molecule: ribosomal RNA, 254 nt
Filed under: uncultured bacterium
Lineage: Bacteria
Description: partial 16S ribosomal RNA
Rfam family: Bacterial small subunit ribosomal RNA
Source: RNAcentral
UACAGAGGUGGCAAGCGUUGUUCUGAAUUACUGGGCGUAAAGGGCGCGUAGGCGGUCUUUUAAGUCUUGUGUGAAAUCCCUCGGCUCAACUGAGGAACUGCACGGGAUACUGGAAGACUUGAGUUCGGGAGAGGGAAGCGGAAUUCCGGGUGUAGCGGUGAAAUGCGUAGAUAUCCGGAGGAACACCGGUGGCGAAGGCGGCUUCCUGGACCGAUUACUGACGCUGAGGCGCGAAAGCCAGGGUAGCAAACGGG